This is a long non-coding RNA of Daktulosphaira vitifoliae (grape phylloxera), 463 nucleotides long. RefSeq lists it as uncharacterized. The record is from RefSeq and is a predicted model, not a curated record. The transcript is spliced from 4 exons. Lineage: Eukaryota; Metazoa; Arthropoda; Insecta; Hemiptera; Phylloxeridae.
GAUUUAAACAAGUGUUCUUUAUGCUAUUUUUAUAAUUAAAUAUUCUAUGAAAAUUAAUAUAUAAAGUAGAAUAUAUUUUAUAACUUAUGAUUAAGUAAAGCUCUUUACAUUAUUUAAAAUAUUUCAAUCGUUUUCAACGAAAAAUUCAAAAUGAAAUACUUCAACAUCAUUUUUGUUUUGUGUUUUGUUAUGUGCAUCGUUUCCUUGUCGGUUGCCUCAGAUUCCACUCUGCAUGACGACGGUACUAAUGAUGAUAAAACUCAACAAGGUUCAGUACCAUUGAAUUCCGUCAACCUUGAUUCAGUUCCUCUUUAAAAAUUUUCAAAAUAUAUGAUAAAACAUUAAUUCAACAAUAUUAUAAUAUUUUCAGUUAAAAAAUCAAUUUAUAUAAAUUUCAUAAUAAAAAUUGUUAUACAUUUUAUAAUGAUUUUGUUUCCAAAAUAAAAUUUCUCAUAACAGUUUA